RNAcentral lists this ribosomal RNA (423 nucleotides) under uncultured bacterium. RNAcentral describes it as "bacterial SSU rRNA". It matches the Rfam family "Bacterial small subunit ribosomal RNA", at positions 202 to 622 of the family's 1533-position model. The record is from RNAcentral.
AAGACCUCGCGCUAUUAGAGCGGCCGAUGCCCGAUUAGCUAGUUGGUGGGGUAAUGGCCUACCAAGGCGACGAUCGGUAGCUGGUCUGAGAGGAUGAUCAGCCACACUGGGACUGAGACACGGCCCAGACUCCUACGGGAGGCAGCAGUGGGGAAUUUUGGACAAUGGGCGAAAGCCUGAUCCAGCCAUGCCGCGUGAGUGAAGAAGGCCUUCGGGUUGUAAAGCUCUUUCGGCCGGAACGAAAUCGUCCGGGCUAAUACCUCGGAUGGAUGACGGUACUGGAAGAAGAAGCACCGGCUAACUACGUGCCAGCAGCCGCGGUAAUACGUAGGGUGCAGGCGUUAAUCGGAAUUACUGGGCGUAAAGCGUGCGCAGGCGGCUUCUUAAGUCAGAUGUGAAAUCCCCGGGCUUAACCUGGGAACU